Molecule: transfer RNA, 72 nt
Filed under: Candidatus Kaiserbacteria bacterium
Lineage: Bacteria; Candidatus Kaiseribacteriota
Description: tRNA-Thr
Rfam family: tRNA
About the family: Transfer RNA (tRNA) molecules are approximately 80 nucleotides in length. Their secondary structure includes four short double-helical elements and three loops (D, anti-codon, and T loops). Further hydrogen bonds mediate the characteristic L-shaped molecular structure. tRNAs have two regions of fundamental functional importance: the anti-codon, which is responsible for specific mRNA codon recognition, and the 3' end, to which the tRNAs corresponding amino acid is attached (by aminoacyl-tRNA synthetases). tRNAs cope with the degeneracy of the genetic code in two manners: having more than one tRNA (with a specific anti-codon) for a particular amino acid; and 'wobble' base-pairing, i.e. permitting non-standard base-pairing at the 3rd anti-codon position.
Source: RNAcentral
GCCGGAGUAGCUCAGUGGUAGAGCAACUCUUUUGUAAAGAGAAGGUCGUGGGUUCGAUCCCCUCCUCCGGCU